GACGAACGCUGGCGGCGUGCUUAACACAUGCAAGUCGAGCGGUAAGGCCCUUUCGGGGGUACGACGAGCGGCGAACGGGUGAGUAACACGUGGGUGACCUGCCCUCAGCUCUGGGAUAAGCCUGGGAAACUGGGUCUAAUACUGGAUAUGACUCCACGGUGCAUGUCGUGGGGUGGAAAGCCUUGUGCGGCUGAGGAUGGGCCCGCGGCCUAUCAGCUUGUUGGUGGGGUGAGGCCUACCAAGGCGACGACGGGUAGCCGGCCUGAGAGGGCGACCGGCCACACUGGGACUGAGACACGGCCCAGACCCCUACGGGAGGGCAGCAGUGGGGAAGUCUUGCGCAAUGGGCGAAAGCCUGACGCAGCGACGCCGCGUGAGGGAUGACGGCC
Molecule: ribosomal RNA, 389 nt
Filed under: uncultured bacterium
Lineage: Bacteria
Description: bacterial SSU rRNA
Rfam family: Bacterial small subunit ribosomal RNA
Source: RNAcentral